Non-coding RNA from Podarcis lilfordi (Lilford's wall lizard), 71 nucleotides. The record is from the annotation of a GenBank genome assembly. Lineage: Eukaryota; Metazoa; Chordata; Lepidosauria; Squamata; Lacertidae.
GGACCAUAGCUCAGUGGUAGAGCAUCUGCCUUGCAUUCAGAAGCUCCAAGGUUUAAUCCUCAGCAUCUCCA